UGAGGAAUAUUGGUCAAUGGGGGAAACCCUGAUGCAGCGACGCCGCGUGAGCGAUGAAGGUUUUCGAAUCGUAAAGCUCUGUCCUAUGGGAAGAUAAUGACGGUACCAUGGGAGGAAGCCCCGGCUAACUACGUGCCAGCAGCCGCGGUAAUACGUAGGGGGCGAGCGUUGUCCGGAAUUACUGGGCGUAAAGGGUUCGCAGGCGGCAUGGCAAGUCCGAUGUAAAAGGCGAAGGCUCAACCUUCGUAAGCAUCGGAAACUGUCAAGCUUGAGUGAAGGAGAGGCAAGUGGAAUUCCUAGUGUAGCGGUGGAAUGCGUAGAUAUUAGGAGGAAUACCGGUGGCGAAGGCGACUUGCUGGACUUCAACUGACGCUGAGGAACGAAAGCGUGGGUAGCAAACAGG
Molecule: ribosomal RNA, 403 nt
Filed under: Fusobacteriota bacterium
Lineage: Bacteria; Fusobacteriati; Fusobacteriota
Description: Fusobacteria bacterium partial 16S ribosomal RNA
Rfam family: Bacterial small subunit ribosomal RNA
Source: RNAcentral